Molecule: ribosomal RNA, 1384 nt
Filed under: uncultured Planctomycetota bacterium
Lineage: Bacteria; Pseudomonadati; Planctomycetota
Description: bacterial SSU rRNA
Rfam family: Bacterial small subunit ribosomal RNA
Source: RNAcentral
GGAUUAGGCAUGCAAGUCGAACGAGGAUAUAUCCUUCGGGAUAUAAGCCGAGUGGCGCAAGGGUGAGUAAUGCAUAGAUUACCUACCUCUAGGAUAAGGACAACUUUGUGAAAACGAAGCUAAUACUUAAUAACACAAGAGAAAAUAAUUUUCUUUUGUCAAUGGGAGGGUAGCAAUACCUUUUGCCUAGAGAGGGGUUUAUGUCCUAUCAGCUUGUUGGUGGGGUAAUGGCCUACCAAGGCGAAGACGGGUAGCCGGUCUUAGAGGAUGGUCGGCCACACUGGGACUGAGACACUGCCCAGACUUCUACGGAAGGCUGCAGUCGAGAAUCUUUCGCAAUGCCCGAAAGGGUGACGAAGCGACGCCGCGUGAGUGAGGAAGGCCUUCGGGUUGUAAAGCUCUGUCAGGAGUUAAGAAAUGUAAGUGUGCUAAUACCACAUUUACUUGACGAAGGCUCCAAAGGAAGCCACGGCUAACUCUGUGCCAGCAGCCGCGGUAAUACAGAGGUGGCAAGCGUUGUUCGGAAUUAUUGGGCGUAAAGAGCACGUAGGUGGGUUUGUAAGUCAGAUGUGAAAGCCUUCUGUUCAACGGAAGAAUUGCAUCUGAAACUGCAAGUCUUGAGUGUAGGAGGGGGGAAUGGAACUUCUGGUGGAGCGGUGAAAUGCGUAGAUAUCAGAAGGAACGCCGGCGGCGAAAGCGAUUCUCUGGCCUAUCACUGACACUCAGUGUGCGAAAGCUAGGGGAGCAAACGGGAUUAGAUACCCCGGUAGUCCUAGCCGUAAACGAUGGGCACUAAGUAGAGGGAAUUACCGAUGUUCUCUCUGCCGUAGCUAACGCAUUAAGUGCCCCGCCUGGGGAGUACGGCCGCAAGGCUAAAACUCAAAAGAAUUGACGGGGGCUCGCACAAGCGGUGGAGCAUGUGGCUUAAUUAGAUGCAACGCGAAAAACCUUACCGGGGCUUGACAUGGUAGAAGUAGGAACCCGAAAGGGUAACGAACGGUAUCCAGUCCGUAGCUAUCACAGGUGUUGCAUGGCUGUCGUCAGCUCGUGUCGUGAGACGUUGGGUUAAGUCCCCUAACGAGCGAAACCCUUGUUUUUAGUUACCAGCGGGUUAUGCCGGGUACUCUAGAAAGACUGCCGUCGUCAAGACGGAGGAAGGUGGGGAUGACGUCAAGUCAUCAUGGCCCUUAUGCCCCGGGCUGCACACGCGCUACAAUGGUCGGUACAAACGGAAGCGAAGCCGAGAGGUGGAGCGAAUCCUAAAAAGCUGAUCUCAGUUCGGAUUGGAGGCUGAAAUUCGCCUCUAUGAAGUUGGAAUCGCUAGUAAUCGCGGAUCAGCAUUGCCCCGGUGAAUAUGUUCCCGAGCCUUGUACACACCGCCCGU